Molecule: ribosomal RNA, 460 nt
Filed under: uncultured bacterium
Lineage: Bacteria
Description: partial 16S ribosomal RNA
Rfam family: Bacterial small subunit ribosomal RNA
Source: RNAcentral
CCUACGGGAGGCAGCAGUGAGGAAUAUUGGUCAAUGGGCGCGAGCCUGAACCAGCCACGUAGCGUGAAGGAUGACUGCCCUACGGGUUGUAAACUUCUUUUAUAAAGGAAUAAAGUGAGGCACGUGUGCCUUUUUGUAUGUACCUUAUGAUUACGGAUCGGCUAAAUCCGUGCCAGCAGCCGCGGUAAUACGGAGGGUCCGUGCGUUAUCCGGAUUUAUUGGGUUUAAAGGGUGCGUAGAUGGGUUGUUAAGUCAGUUGUGAAAGUUUGGGGCUCAACCGGAAAAGUGCAAUUGAUACUGGCAGUCGGGAGUACAGUAGAGGUAGGCGGAAUUCGUGGUGUAGCGGUGAAAUGCAUAGAUAUCACGAAGAACACCGAUUGCGAAGGCAGCUUACUAAACUGCAACUGACAUUGAGGCACGAAAGUGUGGGUAUCAAACAGGAUUAGAUACACCAGUAGUC